UUGGGAAUCUUGGACAAUGGGGGAAACCCUGAUCCAGCCAUGCCGCGUGAGUGAUGAAGGCCUUCGGGUUGUAAAACUCUUUCGACGGGGACGAUAAUGACGGUACCCGUAGAAGAAGCUCCGGCUAACUUCGUGCCAGCAGCCGCGGUAAUACGAAGGGGGCUAGCGUUGUUCGGAAUUACUGGGCGUAAAGCGCGCGCAGGCGGCCAUUCAAGUCAGGGGUGAAAGCCCAGAGCUCAACUCUGGAACUGCCUUUGAAACUGUAUGGCCUGAGUAUGAGAGAGGUGAGUGGAAUUCCCAGUGUAGAGGUGAAAUUCGUAGAUAUUGGGAAGAACACCGGUGGCGAAGGCGGCUCACUGGCUCAUUACUGACGCUCAGGCGCGACAGCGUGGGGAUCAAAC
Molecule: ribosomal RNA, 401 nt
Filed under: uncultured bacterium
Lineage: Bacteria
Description: bacterial SSU rRNA
Rfam family: Bacterial small subunit ribosomal RNA
Source: RNAcentral